RNAcentral lists this ribosomal RNA (497 nucleotides) under uncultured bacterium. RNAcentral's name for it is "partial 16S ribosomal RNA". It matches the Rfam family "Bacterial small subunit ribosomal RNA", at positions 28 to 507 of the family's 1533-position model. The record is from RNAcentral.
GAUGAACGCUGGCGGCGUGCCUAAUACAUGCAAGUCGAGCGAACAGACGAGGAGCUUUCUCCUCUGACGUUAGCGGCGGACGGGUGAGUAACACGUGGAUAACCUACCUAUAAGACUGGGAUAACUUCGGGAAACCGGAGCUAAUAACGGAUAAUAUAUUGAACCGCAUGGUUCAAUAGUUCAAGACGGUUUUGCUGUCUCUUAUAGAUGGAUCCGCGCCGCAUUAGCUAGUUGGUAAGGUAACGGCUUACCAAGGCAACGAUGCGUAGCCGACCUGAGAGGGUGAUCGGCCACACUGGAACUGAGACACGGUCCAGACUCCUACGGGAGGCAGCAGUAGGGAAUCUUCCGCAAUGGGCGAAAGCCUGACGGAGCAACGCCGCGUGAGUGAUGAAGGUCUUCGGAUCGUAAAACUCUGUUAUUAGGGAAGAACAAAUGUGUAAGUAACUAUGCACGUCUUGACGGUACCUAAUCAGAAAGCCACGGCUAACUACGUG